AGUUGGAUAGCAGGGUCAAAUGGCGGUCCCAUUUCAAAUUUUCUGAGAAAUCUCCAUACUGUUUUCCAAAGUGGUUGCACCAAUUUGCAGUCCCACUAGCAAU
RNAcentral lists this microRNA precursor (103 nucleotides) under Marmota monax (woodchuck). Lineage: Eukaryota; Metazoa; Chordata; Mammalia; Rodentia; Sciuridae. The record is from RNAcentral.